Molecule: non-coding RNA, 60 nt
Organism: Picea glauca (white spruce)
Lineage: Eukaryota; Viridiplantae; Streptophyta; Pinopsida; Pinales; Pinaceae
Source: Rfam
UGCGGAGUAGAGUAGUCUAGUAGCUCGCAAGGCUCACGGGUUCAAAUCCCGUCUCCGCCA